RNAcentral lists this ribosomal RNA (377 nucleotides) under Odontozona crinoidicola. Its description in RNAcentral is "partial 16S ribosomal RNA". The stretch from base 253 to 377 matches the Rfam family "Bacterial large subunit ribosomal RNA", at positions 2473 to 2598 of the family's 2925-position model. The record is from RNAcentral. Lineage: Eukaryota; Metazoa; Arthropoda; Malacostraca; Decapoda; Stenopodidae.
CUGUCUUAUUUAUAAAAAUUGAAUUUGACUUUUGAGUGAAAAGGCUUAAAUAUUAAAAAGGGACGAUAAGACCCUAUAAAACUUUAUAUAAAGUAAAUUUUUUAUUAUAAUUAUUUGUUUAGUAAUAAAUAGUUUAUUAAUAUUUUAUUGGGGCGAUAGGAAUAUAGAUAGAUAACUGUUCUUUAAUUUAAAAACAAAGAUUAUUGUUUUGAAUGAUCCUUAGUAAAGAUUCAAAGGUAAAGUUACUUUAGGGAUAACAGCGUAAUUUUUUUUGAGAGUUCUUAUCGACAAAAAAGAUUGCGACCUCGAUGUUGAAUUAAAAUUUCUCUAUGGUGCAGGAGCUAUAGAAGAGAGUCUGUUCGACUUUUAAAUUUUUA